GUGUCUCAGUGCCUGUCAUCAUCUGCAUCCUCCUGGGAGCCCUUCUCUGCCUGCUCCUGGCCCUCCUGGCUGGACAAGUGCAAAGUGCCAGGGCUGGGCACAGAGCUGCCCAGGCCCCUUGGGAGCCCUUCCCUGAGGCUGUGUAUGAGGAGAUUGGCUACAGCACAGCGUGGGAGAAGCAGGAGAGGUUCAGUGACUCAGGCUCCUAUUCAGAGGGGUCUUUGGCCAAGCUGCAGCCCAAGCCUGGUGACAGAGAGGAGGAGGAGGAUGGCCUGGAGUCAACAGCAGAUGUCUCUGUGCUGGCUGGAGGUGACCCACUGGAUGGCUAUGAUGAUGCCAGGGACAUUGCUAACCCUGGGCAGGAGCCUGUGUUUAG
Long non-coding RNA from Pogoniulus pusillus (Red-fronted tinkerbird), 376 nucleotides. RefSeq lists it as uncharacterized. The transcript has 4 exons. The record is from RefSeq and is a predicted model, not a curated record. NCBI's taxonomy places the organism in Eukaryota, Metazoa, Chordata, Aves, Piciformes, Lybiidae.